RNAcentral lists this ribosomal RNA (430 nucleotides) under Pseudomonadota bacterium. RNAcentral describes it as "Proteobacteria bacterium partial 16S ribosomal RNA". It matches the Rfam family "Bacterial small subunit ribosomal RNA", at positions 355 to 776 of the family's 1533-position model. Lineage: Bacteria; Pseudomonadati; Pseudomonadota. The record is from RNAcentral.
UGGGGAAUAUUGGACAAUGGGGGGAACCCUGAUCCAGCCAUGCCGCGUGUGUGAAGAAGGCCUUAUGGUUGUAAAGCACUUUAAGCGAGGAGGAGGGUACUGGUAUUAAUACUACCAGCUACUGGACGUUACUCGCAGAAUAAGCACCGGCUAACUCUGUGCCAGCAGCCGCGUUAAUACAGAGGGUGCGAGCGUUAAUCGGAUUUACUGGGCGUAAAGCGUGCGUAGGCGGCUAAUUGAGUCGGAUGUGAAAUCCCCGAGCUUAACUUGGGAAGUGCAUUCGAUACUGGUUAGCUCGAGUGUGGGAGAGGAUGGUAGAAUUCCAGGUGUAGCAGUGAAAUGCGUAGAGCUCUGGAGGAAUACCGAUGGCGAAGGCAGCCAUCUGGCCUAACACUGACGCUGAGGUACGAAAGCAUGGGGAGCAAACAGG